Sinocyclocheilus anshuiensis is the source of this 752-nucleotide long non-coding RNA. RefSeq lists it as uncharacterized. The record is from RefSeq and is a predicted model, not a curated record. NCBI's taxonomy places the organism in Eukaryota, Metazoa, Chordata, Actinopteri, Cypriniformes, Cyprinidae. The transcript is spliced from 4 exons.
UUCAGGACGUCCGACCCUCCAGGACCGAGUUUGGGCACACCUGCUUUACACAAACGGCGCUGGAUUCAGUUUAUAUUUACCAACUGCCCAUCGAAACCAAGCCUGUAAAUGCAUCCUUUUAUUGCAGCAAAGAGGAAGGACUUUCUGAAGAUGAACACCUGCAGCUCGUCUAUUUCAGCUCUGCUGACCUUUCUGAUGUCGUCCAACAUGAUGUUUUGAGCUUCUUCUCACACUGAAAAACUGACAAACCAUUGUCCAGCUCCAAACAAGGCCAUUGCAUAAGGACCCACUGAAGAGUUUCAGACAUGCACAGAGAAAAAGAGAUGAUGUGACUGCACGAGGAGCUCUGAUAGUCCGCCCACUGCUACAGCAACAAACUAAUCCACCUCCUCUCCUGAUUGGUUGACAGACCGUUGUUUUGAUUGGGAUUGCAACAUGCUAAUUGGCUGCGCAAAGUUGGCGUAAGUGGGUGAUGAAGAGGCUGAGGGGUGCUUCGGUUUGGACAGCUGUUGAAGAAGAAGAGGAGGGUGAAGGAAAGAAAGACAGAGAUAAAGGAGUGCACGUGGGCUGAGACAAAAGUGCUUGUCAGACUCGCCGCAGCCUGUUGACUGAGAUAAGCUGCAACUUGAGGAGGCGGCGAUUCUCCGCCCACGGAACCUUAGCGACACCGCCAUUUGCAGAUGUAUGAUGCACAUAAAUGUGUGUUUGUUCAAUUACGGACGUUUUUUAGAAUUUCAGGGGUUGAUUUUUAU